RNAcentral lists this unclassified non-coding RNA (433 nucleotides) under soil metagenome. Its description in RNAcentral is "partial contains 5.8S ribosomal RNA, internal transcribed spacer 2, and large subunit ribosomal RNA". The stretch from base 1 to 120 matches the Rfam family "5.8S ribosomal RNA", at positions 35 to 154 of the family's 154-position model. The record is from RNAcentral.
GAUGAAGAACGCAGCGAAAUGCGAUACGUAAUGUGAAUUGCAGAAUUCAGUGAAUCAUCGAAUCUUUGAACGCAUAUUGCGCUCUCUGGUAUUCCGGAGAGCAUGCUUGUUUGAGUAUCAGUAAACACCUCAACUCCCUUUUCUUUUUUGAAAUGGGAGCUGGACUUGAGUGAUCCCAACACUUUUCUCACUGGAAAGUGGCGGGUCACUUGAAAUGCAGGUGCAGCUGGACUUUUCUCUGAGCUAUAAGCAUAUCUAUUUAGUCUACCUAAAAAACAGAUUAUUACCUUUGCUGCAGCUAACAUAAAGGAGAUGAGUUCUUGUGCUGACUGAUGCAGGAUUCACAGAGACAGCUUUGCGGCUGACUUUGUAAACUCGAUCUCAAAUCAAGUAAGACUACCCGCUGAACUUAAGCAUAUCAAUAAGCGGAGGA